AGAACGAACGCUGGCGGCAGGCCUCAAACAUGCAAGUCUAGGGGUGUAGCAAUACACACCGGCGGACGGGUGCGUAACGCGUGGGAACAUACCUUUCGGUACGGAACAACCCAGGGAAACUUGGGCUAAUACCGUAUACGUCCUAACGGAGAAAGAUUUAUCGCCGAAGGAUUGGCCCGCGUUCGAUUAGCUAGUUGGUGGGGUAACGGCCCACAAGGCGACGAUCGAUAGCUGUUCUGAGAGGAAGAUCAGCCACACUGGGACUGAGACACGGCCCAGACUCCUACGGGAGGCAGCAGUUGGGAAUCUUGGACAAUGGGGGAAACCCUGAUCCAGCCAUGCCGCGUGAGUGAUGAAGGCCUUCGGGUUGUAAAACUCUUUCGACGGGGACGAUAAUGACGGUACCCGUAGAAGAAGCUCCGGCUAACUUCGUGCCAGCAGCCGC
Molecule: ribosomal RNA, 445 nt
Filed under: uncultured bacterium
Lineage: Bacteria
Description: SSU rRNA
Rfam family: Bacterial small subunit ribosomal RNA
Source: RNAcentral